UAAAGCGGCGCACGGGUGAGUAACACGUGGAUGAUCUACCCUAUGGUGGGGAAUAACCCUGGGAAACUGGGGCUAAUACCGCAUAAGUUCGAGAGAAGAAAGCCGCAAGGCGCCAUUGGAGGAGUCCGCGGCCGAUUAGCUAGUUGGUGAGGUAAAAGCUCACCAAGGCGACGAUCGGUAGCCGGCCUGAGAGGGCACACGGCCACACUGGCACUGAAACACGGGCCAG
Molecule: ribosomal RNA, 229 nt
Filed under: uncultured bacterium
Lineage: Bacteria
Description: partial 16S ribosomal RNA
Rfam family: Bacterial small subunit ribosomal RNA
Source: RNAcentral